CGGGGUGAGUAAUGUCUGGGAAACUGCCUGAUGGAGGGGGGAAACUGCUGGAAACGGUAGCUAAUACCGCAUAACGUCGCAAGACCAAAGAGGGGGACCGUUCGGGCCUCUUGCCAUCGGAUGUGCCCAGAUGGGAUUAGCUAGUAGGUGGGGUAACGGCUCACCUAGGCGACGAUCCCUAGCUGGUCUGAGAGGAUGGCCAGCCACACUGGAACUGAGACACGGUCCAG
Molecule: ribosomal RNA, 230 nt
Filed under: uncultured bacterium
Lineage: Bacteria
Description: partial 16S ribosomal RNA
Rfam family: Bacterial small subunit ribosomal RNA
Source: RNAcentral